UACGUAGGUGACCAGCGUUGUCCGGAUUUACUGGGCGUAAAGAGCGCGCAGGCGGUCGUUCAAGUCGAGUGUGAAAGCCCCCCGGCUCAACUGGGGAGGGUCACUCGAUACUGAUCGACUUGAAGGCAGGAGAGGGAAGCGGAAUUCCCGGUGUAGUGGUGAAAUGCGUAGAUAUCGGGAGGAACACCAGUGGCGAAGGCGGCUUCUGGCCUGUUCUUGACGCUGAGGCGCGAAAGCUAGGGAGCGAA
This 248-nucleotide ribosomal RNA is filed under the name uncultured bacterium. RNAcentral's name for it is "partial 16S ribosomal RNA". It matches the Rfam family "Bacterial small subunit ribosomal RNA", at positions 524 to 772 of the family's 1533-position model. The record is from RNAcentral.